This is a long non-coding RNA of Odocoileus virginianus texanus, 757 nucleotides long. RefSeq lists it as uncharacterized. NCBI's taxonomy places the organism in Eukaryota, Metazoa, Chordata, Mammalia, Artiodactyla, Cervidae. The record is from RefSeq and is a predicted model, not a curated record.
ACCAUCUGAGCCACCAGGGAAGCCCUGAGUUCGUAAGCCACCACUGAAAAGAAACCAGAGUGUCCUCCGAGGGGCAGGUCCACUCAGUACUUCCUGGAUGCUUAGUGAGACCCUGGGCCCGGAAGGAGCUGCACGCUGAUGUGGGGGCGGGUAACUGGGCCGCUGGCGCCCCCUGGAGGUGCUGCGGCCUCAUGUCCACCGGCAUACAGUUGUCUGGGAAAUGGGCCUUUCCCCACGAAUCUUCCUUCAUCCAGUAGAUAGCGUCUUGACAACAUGAUGAUAAAAACCUGGCAAAGAAAACAGUUAACUUUGCAGUUCCCAUAAGUUCUCCUAGAGGAUGCCAAUGGGCUACAUUGGAUGGAAGAUGAAGGCAGAAAAAGUCCUUUCUGGGACAGUUUCAGGGCCUCGAGAUGAUGUUUCCUGGAUAAUUGGAGCUGACCCUGAAUCCAAUGGCGGCAGUCAUUAUAAGAGAAAGGCUGAAGGAAAAUUCGGCUCAGACAGAAGAGGGGAUACAGGGAGGAGAGUCCACGUGAGGAUGGAAGCAGAGACUGGAGGAUCCGGCCACAAGCCCAUGAACACCUGGAGCCACGGAAGCUGGAAGAGGCGAGGAGGGAGUCUCCCCUGGACCCUCCCUGGACAGAGCACCCCUCAAUCUUUGGACUGUUGGGCCCCAGAACUGUGAGCAAAUAAAUUUCUACUAUUUCAAGCCAUCAACUUGUAGUAAUAAGUUAAAACAAUCCUAGAAGACAAAUAUAGU